Non-coding RNA from Phascolarctos cinereus (koala), 3043 nucleotides. NCBI's taxonomy places the organism in Eukaryota, Metazoa, Chordata, Mammalia, Diprotodontia, Phascolarctidae. The record is from RefSeq and is a predicted model, not a curated record.
CUAAGUCAAUAUGCAGCCUGCAGGGAUCCUUAUGGACAGUUUAGUGGCCCUCAUUUCUAUUUGAGUUUGGUAAGACUGGCCUAAGUGAUUUCUAGGAACUUUCCAGCUCAAAAUCCUGUAAUCCAAAGAAACAGCAUGAUGGAAGCAAUGACCCAUAACCUGGCCCCCACCCUUUGUAAGAGCAUGUUGGCACCAUAGAGGUUGAGUGUAAGAGCAGUCUGGCUCCAGAGGUCCCUUUCAGGCUCCAGUAAUAGAACAUUGCUCUCUUUCCAUUGAUAGAGCUGCACACAAUGCGGAUGGGAGCAUCCCAAGGCCCAAGGCACAUGUUAAAGACUAGAUUCACAGGAUCAGAGAUUUAGAAUCAGAAGGGACCCCAGAGUCCAUCUAAUCCAACUACCUCCUUUUGCAGAUGAGGAAACUGAGACCUAGAAAAAGUGUAGUGACUUCCCCCCAGCACUCAAUCCCUUGUACUAUGCUAUCUCCCCAGGCACUCAUACCCUAUCCUCGAGGACCUCACAGACAGCCUGGUUCAGAAAACUAACAGACAUGAAACUGCUAGUGGCUCUGAAUGGCCUGGCUCUUCUUUAACCAGUCCCUGUGUUUAGCUAGAGGAGAGUAGUCAAAGAUGCGUUCAUCUUUGAAAGGUCUGCUCAGGGUCCUGGUUCUCUACCAUCCUCCUCCAGCCAACAUCCGCCCCUCCCUCCCCCUCCAGUCUUAACUUGCUUCCAGCUCAGGCAGAGACUCAAGGCUUCCAUGUGGUCAGCACAUUCCUUUCCGGAAUUACCCUGCGAGUGAAACACUGGGGGCCCUGUUUGCUGCAUUUUGUAGAGAUUUUAGCUCUACAGGGUUCUCUCAGAAGCCUCCAGAGCUUUCUUUUUAUUAUUUCCAGAGGGGAACGUGCCUGCCUCUGAGACCAGGCUUCCCUAACCUACCAGGGGUACUAGCCCAGACAUUGGAGGUCAGGGGAGAUGCUCUGGCUUCUUCAAGUGUUAAGCCCCUUUCUUCACUGCCCAUAUGGACACUUCCAUUUGGUGGAGAGGAUGCUAAGGGUCUCUUAUUGUGUUACAGCCAUACCUAAUAGGCCUGCUGGUAUUCCUUGGACCAUUCCCUGGCCUCCCUCAGAUCUGCUUUCAGAGGCCCAGCAAGUGCCUCAGUAGAAGGAACUCCUGAAGCUCAUGACUGCUUGAAUGAAAGCAUGGCAGUUCCUCGUCGGGGUAACUAUCAAUGUCAACGUCCUUUCCACAGAUGAAUCCAUCACCAGCCCAACCAACACCACACUAUGAAGAGAAAUUCCAUUACGGAAGUCAGGCAGUGAUGCUUGCUGUCAGUUGGCAAACACUUGAACUCCUGCUUAACCCAACCCCAAAGCCCCAGGAGGACUGAGUCAAUUGCGUUUCUAUUGAGAUGAAGCUCCAUCCUUGCUGUUUUGUGCAGGCUCCUCGGACCAGCAGUCUGCUUCCUGAGACAAUGCCUGUGAAGAUACCAUCCAACUGUAAGGUACCAUAGGCCAGGAGGACGGGAGAGAGAGGCACGAUAGCGAACUGUCUGAAGCUGCUUGAAUGUUUUUUUUCUCCAUCUACUUUCCUUUCUAUCCCAUAGUAGGUAGGGCAUAAGGAGAAGAAACAAUUAUGUGGUCUCUGUGGAAAGAACACUGGGUGGAGAAUUAGGUGCUCAAAUAUCAACUGCUAUUUAUCUCCUGUGGCACUUCGGACAAGUCACCUUACUCUCCUGCUCUCGGUUUCCUCAGUUGAGAAAUAGCUGGACUGAACUGUUAGAAGGGGCUGAGCUUUCCAGUGGAAUUAGACGGCUUCCCUCUAGGGGCACUACAGUAAAAAUGUAGGCAUUCCUUUGUCUACUAGACAUCGGUCCAGGCAUUGAGAAAAACAUCUGCAGCUCUGAGGAGAGAUUCUCUGUGAGUUGGGCUGUGGUUUUACUUAAAAUAAAAGAAGGGCUGAAUGUGAUAAUGCACCUUAAGAUUCACCAAAGGCUUUCUACAGUCCUCUAAAAUGAUCUUCACAAUAGCCCCAUGAGAUGAGAAUUAUCCCCAUCAUACAAUACGGAUGAGGCUCAGAGUGACUUACUCACGGUCACAUGCAAGGCCUGAGGCAGGAUUCAAACUCAGGUCUCUGGGGACUCCAAGUCCAGUGGUCUUUCCACUAUACCAUGCUACCUCCUGCCUUUCUGACAGUGCAGUAAACAUGUGAUAAGGGCAGGCUGGGAAAGAAAACUGUUAGAAAACAGUCGCUUUAUUUCAUCUCCUUAUAAACAACAUGUCAGGAUGGAGGUAGGUCCCAUGGGCCAUGAUGCUCCCAUUAACUCUCCAUUUUUGCCAACUGUUUCCCAUUUAUUUUUAUUGCUUUUCCAAGAACCGUGUUUCCUUAGGCUGACUUCACAUGCAAAGAAGCUGGGGAAGUGAGUGUUUGAAUAGUUCGCCUGGGGACCACAUGGCAGUUAGACAAUGGCCCCUCCAUCCCUAGCCGGCUGUCUGGCUUGCUGACCUCACUCGCUUAGAAACAGCUGAUAGGAAUUUUCAGAAAUGUGCUGGUAAGGACUGAAAUGAUUAAAUCAUAGCAGCUAAAUGCAUUUCAGAAAGUACCCUGGCAUGCCAAGCCAUUCUCCGUAGCAUGCAGGGAUUCUGAAGCACAUCCCAGAGGAGUUAGACGUGCAGCUGUGAAGACACAUUGGGUCCCUUCAAAAGCACUGCGCUCUAAGCACUCUGGACCUGCGAUAGCAACAGGAAAUGCCUUUUAAAUAUGACCAUCUUUAAAGAAUAAGUAUCUUAAAGAUAAUUCCUUCACAUGCUUGUAUUCAAAAGCACAUUGAUAAAACUCGACGGGACGUGAGAGGACGUGGGUGGCUUGUCAAUUCCCUGUAUAAACUUCUGUUUUCAUUUGUGGGUCACAUAUAUGAUUACAUCCAUGUGUUAUAGCUGGGUUUUGUGGUUACAGCCUAUACACACACAAUCAGCUUGGCAAAUUAUUGUGCUUUUAAAAAAUUUAUGGAAUAAAGCAAACAUUUCCAUAACAUAGUAUAAUAAAAAAGA